Non-coding RNA from Peromyscus maniculatus bairdii (prairie deer mouse), 3651 nucleotides. Lineage: Eukaryota; Metazoa; Chordata; Mammalia; Rodentia; Cricetidae. The record is from RefSeq and is a predicted model, not a curated record.
CUCUAGGGGGCCAAGGAAAGGAAAUAACUCGCGGGGAGGUGAGGAAACCAGAAACAGGCUAGGGAGUCCGUGCCAGCCGUCGUGGACCUCAGGUUUCCCUCCCGGGGAGGGUUUCGGCGGAACCUCACCAAAGUCACUUUUCUGUUGCUUGCCCGCGACCUGUGCCAUUCGCACAGCCCGGCCGCGCCCAAGUUUCCGGGAAGGAUUUGGGGUCCUCUGGGAAGGAUGGAGGCGGGGCUCCACUCGUGGUAUUUUGGUUCUGCUCUUCUCUGCCCUCUCAGAUACCUAAGGAAAAUAAAAGCAUCCAACUAAAGAAUCCAGAGACCACUGGACAAAUGAAACAUCUGAAGAAAAAGGAUGAAUCGAGAACAUGUCCUAAGAAGAAGAGUCAAUUGACCAAAUGGUAUCACCCACCUCCAGCUAACCGACCUCAAAUCCUGGCUCGGAGCCCCAGACUAGCACACAUGCCACCAUCUUGCCCAAGUGGCUGCCCCUUCCCAGCUAACUGAUUCCAGCUAACUGAGAUGCACAAGAAAAUAGCAUGUCAUCCCACCUAUAUGAGGUAAAUAAGACAAUAGCAUAUUCUAGCAAAAUGAGAUGCACCAGAAAAUGUUGAAUUAGUCCACCGAUAUGAAAUGCAAAAGAUAACAUGUAAUGAUUCCACCUCUAUGAGGUUCACAAUACAACAGCCUAUGAUUCUAUGGACAUGAACUGCAUAAGAUGAUAGUGUAUGGUUCCACCUGUAUGAAAUACACAAGGCAAUAGUAUGUGACUGCAACAAAAGGAGAUGCACGAGAAAACAGCAGAUGAUUCCACCUCCAUGAGUCACAAAGACAGUAGGAAAUGACUGUACGUGUAAGCAAUAGAAAAGAAAACAGCAUAUGAUUCCAGUGACAUAAGAUGCACAAAACAAUAGAGAAUGAUUCCUCCCAUAAGAGACACAGAAGACAAGUGAUUCAACCUAGUGAGAUGCACUAGAAAACAGCAUAUGAUUCCACCUUUAUGAGAUGCAGAAGAUAAUAGACAAUUGCACGUAUGUCCAACAUGUCUUGCACAAUAAAACAGCAUAUUAUCUCAGUGUCGUGAGAUGCAGAUCAGCUCAGAGACAGAAAAUGAUAGCUGCCAGGGACUGGAGAGAGCAGAAGAUAGAGAAUUAUUGUUUAAUGGAUUCAAAGUUAUGUGUUUGCCAGGCAGAGGCAAAGGCAGGUGAAUGUCUGUGUUUUUGAGGCCAGUCUGGUCUACAUAGCAAGUUCCAGGCCAGCCAAGGCAAUAUGCCAAGGCCUUGUCUCAAAAUAAAAUAAAGAAGAAACAGAAGUUUUAGUUUUGUACAGUGAAAUAUCUUGAACAUGGGUGGUGGAAAUAACUGUCUAUAAUCACCAGCAAGUGAAUACCCUUAAUACUGCUGGAUGGUACACUUAAAAUGGUGAAAGCAAUGUUUUGGGUGAGUUGGUGUGUGCCUUUAGGCUUAGCAUUCUGGAGGUUGAGGCAGGAGGGUUGCACAAGUUCAGAGCCAAGCCUGAGCUACAUAGCAAGAUCCUGUCUCAAAAAGGGGUGGGGGGAGUAUGACUAGAGAGAUGGCUCAGGGGUUUAAGUGCAUGUACUGCUCUUCCUGAGGUCCUGAAUUUGAUUCCCAGCACGCACAUCAGGCACCUCACAACUGUAAUUUCAGUUAUAAGGGAUCUGACACCUUUGCUCUCUGUGGCCCCUCACCUACAACCCCCCCCCCACAAUACACAUAAUUAAAAAUAUGUAACAGUAAUAAUUUUUGUGUAUAUUUUAUUACAAUAUUAAAUUAUUGUAUGUGUGGAUAAAUACACCUAUAACUAAAUGUAUCUUAGUAUCUAAUAUUAAAAAUAAUAGGGCUGGAGAGAUGGCUCAGCCAUCAAGAGGACUUGUUGCUCUUGCAGAGAACCUGGGUUCAGUUCCAAGCACUCCCAGGGCAGCUCACAUUCACCUGUAAGUUCCCGGCCAGCCACGGCUACAUAGUGAGACUCUGGUCUCAAAAGGAAAGUGGGGUGGCUGGCUGGAAGGACGGCUCAGUAGGUAAGAGCACUUGCUGCCCUUGCAGAGGAUCUGGAUUUGGUUCCUACACAGCGGUUCAAAACUUUUCUAACUCAAGUUCCAGGGGAUCUGAAGCUCUUUUCUGGCCUCCAUGGAUACCAGGCAUGCAAAACACUCAUAGGUAUAAAAUAAAAAUAAAUCUGAAAAAAUAUUUCAAGGAGCUAUUGAAAAAUCUGCGUUCACUCAACAGACAGUUUGGGGAUGCCUGCUGUGUGCCAUGCAUUGCUCAUGUUGGGGUCUCAAGGUGGAGCAUGAUAGCUGGAUCUCUGAUUUCAAUGUUCCUCCUCUUGUCAACACUUAAUGUUUAGAACAGAGCUGAUGGUAUGACACUGUAAAGGGCAGCGUGGGAAUCCUCUACAGUCUUUCUGCCCAGCUCUGCAUAGAAAACUAAGAAUCAAUACGUCAGAGCUCUAGAAGUCUGCAGCAAAAACCUCCUAACGCAGGAGAAAGAAACAGAAAGGUGAAGAUUGUUAUGGAAUAUUAGUUUAAGACGUAUUACAUUUGUUUAUGCUGUGAAACAUUUGUUUAAUGAUGCAAAGAUGUUGCAUUCUUUUAUGUUGCAUUUAUUUGACCCUGUGAAGCUGUGUUACUUUGCCUGUCUAAAACACCUGAUGGUCUAAUAAAGAGCUAAAUGACCAAUAGCAAGGCAGGAGAAAGGCUAGGCGGGGCUGGCACGCAGAGAGAAUAGUUUGCUUUUCGAGACAAGGUCUCACUGUGUAGCUCUGGUUGCUUGGAACUUGCUAGACAGACCAGGCUGGCCUCGAACUCACAGAGGUCUGCCAGCCUCUGCCUUCAGGCUGCCUAGUUACGUUUUCUUUCAUUGAGACAGGAUCUCUCAAUGUAGUCCAAGCCUGCCUUUAGCUCACUGUGUAGAUGAAGAUGACCUAAAAUUCCUGAUCCUCCUGCCUUCUCCUCCCAGGUGCUGGCAUUACAGACAGCUGGGUGACUGCUUUUGUCUUACCUAACUCAGUCUUUUCAGGGAAGGAGAACAGCUGGAGAUGGGUGUUCUUAGAAAACAUUGUAUGCAGGCUGGAGAGAUGGCUCCAGGUUAAGAGCACUGGCUGCCCUUCCAGAGGUCCUGAGUUCAAUUCCCAGUACCCACCUGGUGGCUCACAACCAUCUAUAAGGAGAUCUGAUGCCCUAUUCUGGUGUGCGGGCAAACAUGCAGACAGAACACUGUGUACAUAAUAAAUAAAUAAAUCUAAACAAAUGAAGGAAUAUAUUGUAAGCUAAGGGAAGCAGCCAUGACCACCUGGGGGGGGGAGAUCAUAGCUGAGACAAAGAAUUGACACACCAAAAGAAAAACCGGGAAGGAUGUCCUUUGUCAAAACCUUUGCUUUUGUUUUAUGUGUACAGUGUCUUGCCUGAGACCGGCGGUGGUGGCACAGGCCUUUAAUCCCAGCACUCAGGAGGCAGAGGCAGGUGGAUCUUGGAGGCCAGCCGGAUCUUGGAGGCCAUCCUGGUCUACAGAGCAAGAUCCAGGACAGCCACGGCUACACAGAGAAAACCUGUCUCAAAAAAAAAAAAAAAAAAAAAAAGAACAACAACAACAAAAAAAGAAGUAAUCCCGUUUUCCUGUUUUCAGUGAAA